UUAGAAAUUGAUUGUCUCUCUUCGUGUUUUGUCGCAAGUUUGUCUAUGUUUGCAUUUUUUCGUCUUUGUUGACACAAAAUGAUUCCUUGCAGAAAAUUCCAUACUUUUUGUGUGCCACUUUUUAAUAAAGUACAGUUUUUACAUAACUCAGUUACGCAAAGGAAGGUAAACCAAAAUUGUAUUACUUUUGAAACUAGACUGGUUGAGCACAGUGUAGGGAAGAAAGCACAUUACUGUGUUUCCACAGUAGAAUCACCUGAGUUUACAGUCUUUGAAAAGGCUUGUGAAGAAACAUUGGAUAGUCUGUCGGAAUACUUGGAAGAAUUAGUAGAAUUAAAUUCCCAUUUAAAUAAUGCUGAUGUAUCUUAUAGUGAUGGUGUGUUAACAUUAAAUCUUGGACCGCAAUUAGGAACUUAUGUAAUUAAUCGACAAAUCCCUAAUCGACAAAUUUGGUUAAGUUCUCCUCAAUCAGGACCCAAACGAUAUGACUUUGUAAAUGAAGGAAAUGGUUACUGGUUGUAUAAACAUGAUGGGAAAACACUUCACCAGCUUUUGCAAGAAGAAUUGAAAGAAGUAGCUAAAACUGAAGUAAAUUUAUCAACAUGUGCCUAUAGUAAAGUUUAGCAAAAAUUGGAGAUAUUUAUAUAUGACUUAAAUGGUAAUGCAGGGUGAUAUUAAUUAUUCCCUAUUAAAAUGGAAGUGAUAAAAAAUGGAAAUGUGAUGCGCAGAGUACAAAUUGUAAUUGAAAGAAUUUUACAAAAUGUGGAAAUUCCAGACCAAAAAUAGAAACGAACUCUUUUAAACUGAAGAGGUUGAGACAUUCUUAUACUAAAAUAAAUAGUGAUGACAGAAGUAUUAACAGUAAUACAGCAAAAUAUGGCAAACGUGGACAUUUUGUAGACUACAAACAAGAAAUAACUUAUAAACUAAACAGGUUCAAACAUUUUUAUUCAAAAAUAAACAAAGCAACGACAAAAAUAAACAGUAAUAUGGAAAAAUGUUUGUACAUUAUGUAUUAAAUUUUUUGGCAUUAUGGUUUUCAAAAAAACAUUGAACACAAUAACAUUUGCUACAGGCAGCACAUUUCAAUUUAGAAUGCAGCCGUUUAUUAAGCGCAACUUUUCGCCCGUCCUUUGCUUUGAGAUUUCGAUAGCACACAAUACAAGGCAAACGUGUUUGUUUCUAUUAACACAUGUUCAUCAUUUUGUUCAUUGUCUCCUUCAAAAGUUAGGUUUAGGUUAGUCUCCAUGAGUCUAAGCAAGAUAAAGAGAGUUGUUCUCGGAAAUCUGCGAUGGAGAUUCCAUUCUGAGUAACCUCAUUGUAAAAUAUGUGAGCAUUUACUACAGCAGAAUGGCUAGUUUUCUAUAGGUACCAUUUAGUACCUCUGCAUAAACAAUGCGAAUAAGCCUUGACUUGAAAGGAGAUAUCAAUGAAUUAUUUUGCAUUAUUAUAAUCCAGGAUAGCUUCAGGUUGUUCAAUUUAAUCACCUUUUCUUUAUUUUUUUCUGUGCAUCCGUGCUAAUGGUACUCAACACAAGGACGUACUUUUCGUCUUGCCAUUUUAGUACUAUUAUUCCUGUAUCGUUUUCUUGUCUCACUACAUCUUUACACUUCAAUUUCUUUUGCACUACUGCCUUUGGAUUAUACUUGUGAGUGGUGCGGAGGUACUAAUCAAAUGUUUUUUUUUUCAACAAUUUAGUGGCCAACAAACCACUCCUGUAAAAAUCAUCGGUGUGUAAUUUCCGAUCAGCGUUGAAAAGUCUUUCUAUUAGGUGUACCACUACAUUUUAGGAUGCCUGUCCUCCUUGCACGCAGUUGUUACCACAAUAUAUUGUCAAAUUAUAAGUAUAUCCACCUUCAAAGCACAACUUAUAAUACUCUUAUGCCGAAUUUGUUUUUUUUUUUUAUUUUUUAUA
Long non-coding RNA from Agrilus planipennis (emerald ash borer), 1915 nucleotides. RefSeq lists it as uncharacterized. The transcript is spliced from 3 exons. Lineage: Eukaryota; Metazoa; Arthropoda; Insecta; Coleoptera; Buprestidae. The record is from RefSeq and is a predicted model, not a curated record.